GACGAACGCUGGCGGCGUGCUUAACACAUGCAAGUCGUACGGUAAGGCCCUUUCGGGGGUACACGAGUGGCGAACGGGUGAGUAACACGUGAGUAACCUGCCCACAACUUUGGGAUAACGCUAGGAAACUGGUGCUAAUACUGGAUAUGUGCUCCUGCUGCAUGGUGGGGGUUGGAAAGCUCCGGCGGUUGUGGAUGGACUCGCGGCCUAUCAGCUUGUUGGUGGGGUAGUGGCCUACCAAGGCGGCGACGGGUAGCCGGCCUGAGAGGGUGACCGACCACAUUGGGACUGAGAUACGGCCCAGACUCCUACGGGAGGCAGCAGUGGGGAAUAGUGCACAAUGGGCGCAAGCCUGAUGCAGCAACGCCGCGUGCGGGAUGACGGCCUUCGGGUUGUAAACCGCUUUCAGCAGGGACGAAGCUUUUUGUGACGGUACCUGCAGAAGAAGCACCGGCUAACUACGUG
RNAcentral lists this ribosomal RNA (465 nucleotides) under uncultured bacterium. RNAcentral's name for it is "partial 16S ribosomal RNA". It matches the Rfam family "Bacterial small subunit ribosomal RNA", at positions 28 to 507 of the family's 1533-position model. The record is from RNAcentral.